Salvelinus sp. IW2-2015 is the source of this 229-nucleotide non-coding RNA. The record is from RefSeq and is a predicted model, not a curated record. NCBI's taxonomy places the organism in Eukaryota, Metazoa, Chordata, Actinopteri, Salmoniformes, Salmonidae.
CCCAUAACACCUAAGAGAGGUAGGCCUAAAGGAUCGGUCUCCAAGUUACUGGCUAGCCCCAUAACACCUAAGAGAGGUAGGCCUAAAGGAUCGGUCUCCAAGUUACUGGCUAGCCCCAUAACACCUAAGAGAGGUAGGCCUAAAGGAUCGGUCUCCAAGUUACUGGCUAGCCCCAUAACACCUAACAGAGUAGGCCUAAAGGAUCGGUCUCCAAGUUACUGGCUAGCCC